RNAcentral lists this long non-coding RNA (227 nucleotides) under Oryza brachyantha (malo sina). RNAcentral describes it as "long non-coding RNA (OBRA_LNC003226)". Lineage: Eukaryota; Viridiplantae; Streptophyta; Magnoliopsida; Poales; Poaceae. The record is from RNAcentral.
CUUGGACUUAGGAGGCAUCAGGAGUUGUCUUUUCACCAAUCCACCUUCAUCCUGGCCACGUGAAGACGAAGACACGCGUGGAGUGGAGCGCUCGCCGCCGAUGUGAUUCUACUUGAUAGCUCACUUCUCAGAAAACCAUUUUUACGGUUGGAUUAAGCAUAUCUUUACGUGUGAGGGUGAAAACCAAAUGAAAUAGAUCAUCCGUGAAAAUAGAGUAUCUUCGCAAG